UGCGUAGGCGGCUUAUUAAGUCGGAUGUGAAAUCCCCGAGCUUAACUUGGGAAUUGCAUUCGAUACUGGUGAGCUAGAGUAUGGGAGAGGAUGGUAGAAUUCCAGGUGUAGCGGUGAAAUGCGUAGAGAUCUGGAGGAAUACCGAUGGCGAAGGCAGCCAUCUGGCCUAAUACUGACGCUGAGGUACGAAAGCAGUGGGGAGCAAACA
Molecule: ribosomal RNA, 208 nt
Filed under: uncultured bacterium
Lineage: Bacteria
Description: partial 16S ribosomal RNA
Rfam family: Bacterial small subunit ribosomal RNA
Source: RNAcentral